This is a long non-coding RNA of Gekko japonicus, 246 nucleotides long. RefSeq lists it as uncharacterized. The record is from RefSeq and is a predicted model, not a curated record. NCBI's taxonomy places the organism in Eukaryota, Metazoa, Chordata, Lepidosauria, Squamata, Gekkonidae. The transcript is spliced from 2 exons.
CCAGCACCUUCUUUCCAGAGCUUCAGAAAUGUGACACUGACGAUGACGUGGCCAUGUGUUUUAUUAAGAACGAGGGGGACUUCGACAAGUACAUCCUGUAUCUAGUUGGUCGGAUACAGGCCGAGUCUGUUGUUGUCAGCAAAACUGUUCAGGAGUUCUACAAGCGAUAUACAGAGGAAAUGCUCUCUGGCGAGGACCCAUCCCAGCCACCCGUGCUCCCUCUGCAGCACUAUCUGGAGAGACCCA